UUUUUUUUGUAGGGUGGAAUUACUUCUUCAGAUGUUGCUACAAAAGCUUUAGAAGCAAAACGUGCCAGAAUAGUUGGGCAAGCAUUCGCUGGUGUUCCUUUGUGGCAGUUGGGCCGUGCAAAGCAGGCAUCCGGGUGUUCCUUACAUUGUUUUUCCAGGAUGCAGAAAAGGGGUAUAAUAUUGAAGGGGUUAAAGCAGUUCAUUUGAAUUAUUCAUCCUAGUGCUCUAAAGCAAGGAGGAAACCCUUUGGUGGCAAGCUGCAUCUCUGCUGCUGAAAGCAUAUUUAACAAAAAAGCUCUACUAUUUGUUUAGAGGGACAAAAAUGAAAGUUGAAAUUUGUAUUGAUCUUCAGCUUAUCACCGUUCAUUUUGAUCAUGGUAAUUCCAAACAAGAACAUGUAAUGUUUGGGAAUCUUCCUUUAAUUUGUACUGCUUUAAAACAUGUAAUAAAAUCCUUUAGCAUUA
This is a non-coding RNA of Lactuca sativa (garden lettuce), 464 nucleotides long. The record is from RefSeq and is a predicted model, not a curated record. NCBI's taxonomy places the organism in Eukaryota, Viridiplantae, Streptophyta, Magnoliopsida, Asterales, Asteraceae.